RNAcentral lists this transfer RNA (69 nucleotides) under Lophius litulon. RNAcentral's name for it is "tRNA-His". It matches the Rfam family "tRNA". Rfam says of the family: Transfer RNA (tRNA) molecules are approximately 80 nucleotides in length. The record is from RNAcentral. Lineage: Eukaryota; Metazoa; Chordata; Actinopteri; Lophiiformes; Lophiidae.
GUAGACAUAAUUUAAUAAAAAUAUUAGAUUGUGAUUCUGAAAAUAGGGGUUAAACCCCCCUUGUCCACC